GGGACACGUGGUAUCCUGUCUGAAUAUGGGGGGACCAUCCUCCAAGGCUAAAUACUCCUGACUGACCGAUAGUGAACCAGUACCGUGAGGGAAAGGCGAAAAGAACCCCGGCGAGGGGAGUGAAAAAGAACCUGAAACCGUGUACGUACAAGCAGUGGGAGCACGCUUAGGCGUGUGACUGCGUACCUUUUGUAUAAUGGGUCAGCGACUUAUAUUCUGUAGCAAGGUUAACCGAAUAGGGGAGCCGAAGGGAAACCGAGUCUUAACUGGGCGUUAAGUUGCAGGGUAUAGACCCGAAACCCGGUGAUCUAGCCAUGGGCAGGUUGAAGGUUGGGUAACACUAACUGGAGGACCGAACCGACUAAUGUUGAAAAAUUAGCGGAUGACUUGUGGCUGGGGGUGAAAGGCCAAUCAAACCGGGAGAUAGCUGGUUCUCCCCGAAAGCUAUUUAGGUAGCGCCUCGUGAAUUCAUCUCCGGGGGUAGAGCACUGUUUCGGCAAGGGGGUCAUCCCGACUUACCAACCCGAUGCAAACUGCGAAUACCGGAGAAUGUUAUCACGGGAGACACACGGCGGGUGCUAACGUCCGUCGUGAAGAGGGAAACAACCCAGACCGCCAGCUAAGGUCCCAAAGUCAUGGUUAAGUGGGAAACGAUGUGGGAAGGCCCAGACAGCCAGGAUGUUGGCUUAGAAGCAGCCAUCAUUUAAAGAAAGCGUAAUAGCUCACUGGUCGAGUCGGCCUGCGCGGAAGAUGUAACGGGGCUAAACCAUGCACCGAAGCUGCGGCAGCGACGCUUAUGCGUUGUUGGGUAGGGGAGCGUUCUGUAAGCCUGCGAAGGUGUGCUGUGAGGCAUGCUGGAGGUAUCAGAAGUGCGAAUGCUGACAUAAGUAACGAUAAAGCGGGUGAAAAGCCCGCUCGCCGGAAGACCAAGGGUUCCUGUCCAACGUUAAUCGGGGCAGGGUGAGUCGACCCCUAAGGCGAGGCCGAAAGGCGUAGUCGAUGGGAAACAGGUUAAUAUUCCUGUACUUGGUGUUACUGCGAAGGGGGGACGGAGAAGGCUAUGUUGGCCGGGCGACGGUUGUCCCGGUUUAAGCGUGUAGGCUGGUUUUCCAGGCAAAUCCGGAAAAUCAAGGCUGAGGCGUGAUGACGAGGCACUACGGUGCUGAAGCAACAAAUGCCCUGCUUCCAGGAAAAGCCUCUAAGCAUCAGGUAACAUCAAAUCGUACCCCAAACCGACACAGGUGGUCAGGUAGAGAAUACCAAGGCGCUUGAGAGAACUCGGGUGAAGGAACUAGGCAAAAUGGUGCCGUAACUUCGGGAGAAGGCACGCUGAUAUGUAGGUGAAGUCCCUUGCGGAUGGAGCUGAAAUCAGUCGAAGAUACCAGCUGGCUGCAACUGUUUAUUAAAAACACAGCACUGUGCAAACACGAAAGUGGACGUAUACGGUGUGACGCCUGCCCGGUGCCGGAAGGUUAAUUGAUGGGGUCAGCGCAAGCGAAGCUCUUGAUCGAAGCCCCGGUAAACGGCGGCCGUAACUAUAACGGUCCUAAGGUAGCGAAAUUCCUUGUCGGGUAAGUUCCGACCUGCACGAAUGGCGUAAUGAUGGCCAGGCUGUCUCCACCCGAGACUCAGUGAAAUUGAACUCGCUGUGAAGAUGCAGUGUACCCGCGGCAAGACGGAAAGACCCCGUGAACCUUUACUAUAGCUUGACACUGAACAUUGAGCCUUGAUGUGUAGGAUAGGUGGGAGGCUUUGAAGUGUGGACGCCAGUCUGCAUGGAGCCGACCUUGAAAUACCACCCUUUAAUGUUUGAUGUUCUAACGUGGACCCGUAAUCCGGGUUGCGGACAGUGUCUGGUGGGUAGUUUGACUGGGGCGGUCUCCUCCUAAAGAGUAACGGAGGAGCACGAAGGUUGGCUAAUCCUGGUCGGACAUCAGGAGGUUAGUGCAAUGGCAUAAGCCAGCUUGACUGCGAGCGUGACGGCGCGAGCAGGUGCGAAAGCAGGUCAUAGUGAUCCGGUGGUUCUGAAUGGAAGGGCCAUCGCUCAACGGAUAAAAGGUACUCCGGGGAUAACAGGCUGAUACCGCCCAAGAGUUCAUAUCGACGGCGGUGUUUGGCACCUCGAUGUCGGCUCAUCACAUCCUGGGGCUGAAGUAGGUCCCAAGGGUAUGGCUGUUCGCCAUUUAAAGUGGUACGCGAGCUGGGUUUAGAACGUCGUGAGACAGUUCGGUCCCUA
Molecule: ribosomal RNA, 2236 nt
Filed under: Escherichia coli
Lineage: Bacteria; Pseudomonadati; Pseudomonadota; Gammaproteobacteria; Enterobacterales; Enterobacteriaceae
Description: partial 23S ribosomal RNA
Rfam family: Bacterial large subunit ribosomal RNA
Source: RNAcentral